RNAcentral lists this ribosomal RNA (470 nucleotides) under uncultured Pseudomonas sp. RNAcentral's name for it is "bacterial SSU rRNA". It matches the Rfam family "Bacterial small subunit ribosomal RNA", at positions 916 to 1381 of the family's 1533-position model. The record is from RNAcentral. Lineage: Bacteria; Pseudomonadati; Pseudomonadota; Gammaproteobacteria; Pseudomonadales; Pseudomonadaceae.
GACGGGGCCCGGCACAAGCGGUGGAGCAUGUGGUUAAUUCGAAGCAACGCGAAGAACCUUACCAGGCCUUGACAUGCAGAGAACUUUCCAGAGAUGGAUUGGUGCCUUCGGGAACUCUGACACAGGUGCUGCAUGGCUGUCGUCAGCUCGUGUCGUGAGAUGUUGGGUUAAGUCCGUAACGAGCGCAACCCUUGUCCUUAGUUACCAGCACGUUAUGGUGGGCACUCUAAGGAGACUGCCGGUGACAAACCGGAGGAAGGUGGGGGAUGACGUCAAGUCAUCAUGGCCCUUACGGCCUGGGCUACACACGUGCUACAAUGGUCGGUACAAAGGGUUGCCAAGCCGCGAGGUGGAGCUAAUCCCAUAAAACCGAUCGUAGUCCGGAUCGCAGUCUGCAACUCAACUGCGUGAAGUCGGAAUCGCUAGUAAUCGUGAAUCAGAAUGUCACGGUGAAUACGUUCCCGGGCCUU